GGUCGGGGUCGAGUCCGGGUCCGGUUCCGAGCGGGUCCGGGCCGGCGGGCGGGGGAGAGACGGAGAGACACGAAAAAUGUAAGGGGGUCACUGCACAAAUCAGUCCUCAUCACCGAUGGGAAGACAUGCCCAUUAGAAGAGCACAGAACCCACAGCAGCUGUCUCUGCCUGGAGGGUGCGGCCUGGUCCUGCUUAAAGCCGCCUAUGUCUUGCAGCGGUGGACAGAAUAGGGCUUCAAGGGGGCUGAGUCUCAGUCCACACCAAGUCCCCGAUUCCCUGGGCAGCUGGAGUGAGUGCUACAAAGGGCGCCUGUGCUCCACGGCAGGGAGCCAGCCUGGAUCCAGAGCUGAGGGUCUGAGGGAGGUGGGUCUGCAGCCACAUCUGAUGGGCCUUCAGAGUCCCCUGAAGGAUCUGGGACGGCGCCUGCAAGAUAACACAGAGAGCAGCCCAGGGUAGGGACCAGGCGUGCAGUGUGACUCAGCUGGGAAGAGCUCCCCACGGUAGGGGGCGGAGGGGAACCCUCCACAGGGAUGCUGCCUGAGGGGGCUGCACGGGACCAUCCCCAGGCUGUCCCGGCAGGCAGAGGUCCUCACUGCAGUUCUGUGAUUUUAUGAGAAGCUGAAGGUGGAAGAAUAGCAGAUGAAUGAAGAGAUGUGAAAUGGCACCAAUGUUGAUAUUCUCCUGUGUCAUGCAUGGAAGCAUGACAAACAUCCCACGGGAGCAAGCGCUUGCGAAAGGCAGAGAGCAGGGCCAGAGCACGGUGACCUAGAUCCUGCGGCUCACCCCACCCCUCCAUCACAAAGAGCUCAGCGCUGGGCUCCAGGGACUGGCUCCAGCUCCCCACUGCAUCUACCUCCCAGUCAGGCAAGAGAGAUCUGAAAAUCACUCUGGAAUAAACAGGACCCUACUGUCCCGUCUUCAGGACCUCUGUUCCCUGGACCCUGGUGCUGCGUGCAAAUGCACUGCCUGUUGCACACCCAGGCUCCCACGGGGAAGGUGG
Molecule: long non-coding RNA, 1000 nt
Filed under: Homo sapiens (human)
Lineage: Eukaryota; Metazoa; Chordata; Mammalia; Primates; Hominidae
Description: HSALNT0275304
Source: RNAcentral